CUCUUUAUAGCGGCACACAUGGGGAGAAUCACAUGUCCCUUGCCAUAAGGUGGAUGCUAAAGCAGCUGAGAAUGCUGCUGAGUGUGCCAGCGAAUAGUCAGACUUUGCCAUUGUUCUACAGGUCUACAGGCCUGCUACUGAGGACCGCUGGAUCAAUAUUUGCCAAGUUUAAACACCAGGAUUAUCCGUCUGUCAGGCUCCCAACAGAAGCUCUCAACUGUGACAUAAAUCUUUGACUGUCCUCCACCAUUUGAGAAGGUCACACCUCCAAACAGUCUUUGUUAUAUUGUACACCUUAAAGACAGAUUAAAUAGUCGAUAUCAC
Long non-coding RNA from Doryrhamphus excisus (bluestripe pipefish), 324 nucleotides. RefSeq lists it as uncharacterized. Lineage: Eukaryota; Metazoa; Chordata; Actinopteri; Syngnathiformes; Syngnathidae. The record is from RefSeq and is a predicted model, not a curated record.